This is a long non-coding RNA of Hippocampus comes (tiger tail seahorse), 597 nucleotides long. RefSeq lists it as uncharacterized. The transcript is spliced from 3 exons. The record is from RefSeq and is a predicted model, not a curated record. Lineage: Eukaryota; Metazoa; Chordata; Actinopteri; Syngnathiformes; Syngnathidae.
CCAAGGCCGUCACACUAAUGCAGCGGUUUUUAACCUGGGUUCGAUCGACCCCCAGGGGUUCGGUGACUCGGUCUCAGGGGUUCGACGGAGCCUCUGCCAUGGAGGAGUGACCAAACGAGUGGAAAGGAGGAGGAUACGAGAGACUAUAUUGAAAGAAAUAACAGAGUGAGCUGAAAGUCUGAGAUACAUUAUUGGAGUUAAUCAGACUAGAAUGAGGAAAGCGCUGAGGUGAGACAGCAAAAAUUACCACCCUCCACAGCCUGCCGAGAUGGUGCCCAUCUUCACUGGGUCUUUGUUCACACUUUCUCUGAUUGAGGAGGAAGAAUGGCGGAGGGAGCACUGCAGAGGUGAAGUGGCAAAGCUGCGACUUUCCACCUUAAAGUGAUGAAUUGAUUCUCUAAUCCAAUGAAGAGACAAUGAAAAGAAAUGAAGGUGACAAUAGAGGGUGAUUAAAGCUUAAUAUAAAUUCAUUUUUCUUCGGUGUGGUGCAGAUGGUGGUAAUUCCCAUGGCCAAGCCUUUUUAACAACAUAUCAAUAAACCAGCCUAUUUUUUCGAAGGUCAUUUCAUGGCAAAACAUAUUUUCAUGUCUCAUUGAA